CAGUUUAGGCUGAGGCCUGUGCCAGCUGUGAAAUAUUUACUCCACCCUCUGACCUUGCGUUAGGCCUUAUAUGAUUUACAGUGUUCUGAAGGCUGCCAAAUUCAGAUGCCAGCGACCCACCAAGCUCAACACAUUCCAGAAGCCAGACACUCUAGUGAGAAAGCGCUACUGCUGAUCCUGGAGAGUUCAAGUCCAAAACAGACAAGCACCCAAGUAGUCCAUAGAGGCCGGUCAAGAUCAGAGCUCCAUUGUACUGGUCACUAUAGAGUAUGAAGUCUUCCCAC
Mauremys reevesii (Reeves's turtle) is the source of this 284-nucleotide long non-coding RNA. RefSeq lists it as uncharacterized. The transcript has 3 exons. The record is from RefSeq and is a predicted model, not a curated record. Lineage: Eukaryota; Metazoa; Chordata; Testudines; Geoemydidae.